CCAAAUGCCAUGAAGAUAUAUGUCGAGCC
RNAcentral lists this non-coding RNA (29 nucleotides) under Mus musculus (house mouse). Lineage: Eukaryota; Metazoa; Chordata; Mammalia; Rodentia; Muridae. The record is from RNAcentral.